Molecule: ribosomal RNA, 245 nt
Filed under: uncultured Oscillospiraceae bacterium
Lineage: Bacteria; Bacillati; Bacillota; Clostridia; Eubacteriales; Oscillospiraceae
Description: partial 16S ribosomal RNA
Rfam family: Bacterial small subunit ribosomal RNA
Source: RNAcentral
CACGCCGUAAACGCUGAUUACUAGGUGUAGGGGGUAUAGACUCCCUCUGUGCCGCAGUUAACGCAUUAAGUAAUCCACCUGGGGAGUACGGCCGCAAGGUUAAAACUCAAAGGAAUUGACGGGGGCCCGCACAAGCAGUGGAGUAUGUGGUUUAAUUCGAAGCAACGCGAAGAACCUUACCAGGGCUUGACAUCCUCGGACGACACUAGAGAUAGGGCUUUUCUACGGAACAGAGUGACAGGUGG